RNAcentral lists this long non-coding RNA (6598 nucleotides) under Equus asinus (donkey). Its description in RNAcentral is "lncRNA (ENSEASG00005038427.1)". Lineage: Eukaryota; Metazoa; Chordata; Mammalia; Perissodactyla; Equidae. The record is from RNAcentral.
CUCAGAUUUAUUAUGCCUUGUACCCCCUAACACACAAGUAUUCCUUAUGAAUGAAAACUGAUUCAGAGGAAAACACAAAAAUGUUUCUUAAUUUACUCUAUCACCUAUGAGGAAGGACACACAUAUUAAGCUUUUAUUUUUAAAGCAACGUUAUCAAAGUUCUUGAAGAAAAUAUUUAAAGCAUCCUUCAAAGGCAAAUAACCAUAGUUCUAAUAGAACCCUACAAAAUAAAUUUUAAAAAAUGCAUUACAUAGCCUUCAUUUAUGUCAAAGUUCUGAUACUUUGGAUCUGAAAAACUAAACAAUAUUAUCACUACAAUGAACAAAAAUUCAAUUUAAGCACUGUAUACUUCUUUCUACUGCAAAGGUCUCUGAAGAGACUUAAGACACCAUGUUGCUUUAAGAUCUUUAAAAAAAAGAUAUUACAAUUGUAGAACACAAAUGCACCUAAAACUAAAUAUAUUAGAACACAUGAAAGAAAAAUUUGUAAACUACUAGCUAGAAUCAUCUUUAAAAGACUAAACGAUCCUCAAACACCAUAGUUAUAUUAUUUUCGAGGGGAGAAUUAUUGCUUUUCAUUGAACAAAAAAAUUGCUUGUUUUGGACUAUAAGCUCCAAAAAUCUCUUCUUCCAGCUGUACAUUUCAGGAUGAAGGAUAACCCCUUACCUACAAGCAAUCUCCAUGAUUAAAGGGUUAUUUCCAAACACUUCUGUUUAUUAACCCCUCCUCUCCUGUGCUGAAAAUGCAGCAGACAUAUAAAGCACACAUUUUUAAUUAACAAACAUUUGGAAAGCGAAGGCGGGUUUUGUUAGUUAAUGGCAAUUAUUAAUCCUCAACAUAAACAGGAAAUAGUGCUAAGUGGCAGGCUCCAAACCAAAUACUAAUGGGCCUCAGGAAAUCCAAAGUACUUUUUCUCCUUGCAUGCAGGUUUCCAUAAUGCUGUUGUACCUGAUGCUUAUAAAACGUGUCAGUCUCCACUAGCUGAACAUGUGCUCACAGAGCGGGAGGGGGUGGGAGAGCUUUCCUCUUAGCCCUCGCCCAGGCAACUUCUCCAGGCCAUUCCUUUUGUCCAAUUUUACUUCCAUGAAUAACCAUGCUGGGCAUGGCACAAAACCAAGAUUUUAGCAUCACAUACACCUUUCUGCUUUUGAGCAAAAAAUUUAUUCAACUUUUACACUUCCUAAUUGGUAAUGGCCUUCUCCACCAUAUACUGACAAUUUCACAGGCUCAUUUGCUCUUAAUCCGGAGAAAACAAUUCUAGCCACUGCUAGGUGGUUCACGACGGCCAACUCAAAGAGAAAGCAGCUUCAGGAACAUCAAGUUAAAAAACAGAUGAGCCAGCCAGUUUCAGCGGUAAAGAAUUCUGUGCACGUUGCCCCUCCCCCUUUUCAAAAAUUGAAGACAAAGGGCAUUUAUUUAAAUAUGGUAAACUCAGAAAAUUCCUAGAAAGCGUGUAGAGUUGACACACAUUCAGCUGACGCCAUCAUUUCAGGGUCAGGGCCUGCCAAAUCUGGCGGAGAGGAACUUAGCACUCCCCAAGAAGAUGGCAAGUAACAGGCUCCUCUAAGAACUGACUCGUUUCAAAGCUAAGGUAGAUAGUGUAGUUUCUACUCAGGUAGGGCACUCCCAAUGUCAAGCUUCGGGCAUAAUAAUGACAAAAGUCAAGAUUUAGGGUUCAGUUCCAGCUGAUUUUAUUUCCUUCUCAAAAAAAGUUAUUUACAGAAGGUAUAUAUCAACAAUCUGACAGGCAGUGAACUUGACAUGAUUAGCUGGCAUGAUUUUUUUUUUUUCCUCCCCCAAACAUUGUUUUUGUGGCCUUCAAUUUUAAGACAAAUAUUCUACACGGCAUAUUGCACAGGAUGGAUGGCAAAAAAAAGUUUAAAAACAAAAACCCUUAACGGAACUGCCUUAAAAGGCAGACGUCCUAGUGCCUGUCAUGUUAUAUUAAACAUACAUACACACAAUCUUUUUGCUUAUUAUAAUACAGACUUAAAUGUACAAAGAUGUUUUCCACUUUUUUCAAUCUUUAAACACAACAGCUAUAAACCUGAACACAUAUGCUAUCGUCAUGCCAUAAGACUAAAACAAUUAUAUUUAGCGACAAGUAGAAAGGAUUAAAUAGUCAAAUACAAGAAUGAAAAACGCAGUACAUAGUGUCGCGAACUCAAAUCGGCAUUUAGAUAGAUCCAGUGGUUUAAACGGCACGUUUUUGCUUAUAAAAAAAGUGCAAAAAAGAUGUGGUUUACAAAUUAAAGCUACAGGAUCCCUUUUUGCUGUAAAUGCACCAGUUUUAAAGCCUCUGGACAGGAUAGUACUUUGUUUAAAAAAUUUGUUUGUCUUAAAAGCAUACAGUGUUUGGCUAAUUCCCUCCCCUGUUUAUAAGACUGGGGUCGAAGGGUGGACACUGGUGGCAGAUUAAGGGAUACUGUCACUUUAAGAAGCCUGCAGAUUGAAGUGUAAACAUGGAGAAAUUAGGGGCUGAUUUUUUAAACUGUGAGAUAUUAACCAGCCGCCCUAUUAUAAAAAUCAGGAAAUCCAAACAGCGAUUUACACCGAUUAACACCCCCUUUAUAUAUUUUUUACAAAAAUACACUGAGAAAAUAAUCAAACGUUUUCAUCUCUCUUGUCUUUUUUUGUUUUUAAAAGUGUCAAAAGUCUACAUUUAAAUAUAAAAAAUUAAAAGUUAAAACUCUAGCCCUUCAGUGAAGGAGACGUAAAAUGGCGUGGGUAACAACAACUACCAAAAAAAAAAAAGAAAAGAAAAGAAAGAUAAAGAAGAUAACAGAAGGAAGGAAGAAAGGAAGGAAGCAGAAAAAAAGAAAAAAAAAAAGCAAAAGAAAGGAAAGAAAAACAGGGACAAAGUAAGAAAAAAAAUGUUUGGCCAGUAUAAAUACGUCCACAUAUAAAAUGGCAUCUGAUUACAUUUACAAGGAAAAAAAAUACGAGGAUGGAGCAUCGGUGAGGGGAAAAAAACACGUCUUCUCAUUUACACCUAUAAGGAAUAAACACAUACACACUGAGAAAAAAUUUGGUCCUGAAUUGUUUUUUAAAGUCCAGCACAGAUUUGAGUUGCGUUUGAAUCCCUUAAAGAGUUAAGAAUGAAAAAAAGCUGGUGAUAAUUUUGUUUGUAGGAAUCAAACAUAGCGCCAUCUAUCUGCUUUUUAUAUUAUCCUACACUAUUUUAAAAACUGCUCAACAGUCUUAUACAGAAAUCUUUAAAAGAUAGACAGGAUAACAUGCUAUAUUAACCCCACCAGUGAAAUAAUCCAACACCAUCACGAUUCCGAUUAAGAGAAGAAAAAAAUCUUUUUUUUUUUCCCCGAAACCACUCGCCCUCCACUGCCCCGGUACCACAUCAAAGUCUCCUCUCCUCCACGCCUGCGGGCCUGUGAAGUCGCACCUCACUGAUUUCAUAUCUGCAGGAGGUGGAGGCCCCGGAGUCGCCGCCACCUUCUCCCGAACGUGCAAAUCCAUUUCAGUUUUAUUAGGAGCCCCUUCCAGGCCAGUUCGUGUCCUUCUCUCCCCCGCCCCUCGCCCUCGCUGGUGUGGCUUCCAACUAGGUUCUCAGGUCAUUUCCUAGCGCCGGUCACUCAACAUCUCCUCCUCCGGCUGCAGGAGCCAGAAGAAAAAAAAAAAAAAGGGAAGAAAAAGUAAAAGGAAAAAAAAAACCCCAAAUCGGGAAUUCACCAGCGUGGAGUCUCUCAGUCCCGGCGCUCGAACCUGCACGACCCCCAAACCUCUGCCGUCGGUCACACUCCACUCCCCGGAGCCUUCAGUCUUCUUCGGGGGAAAAAAAAGCGGGGGAGGACGGGGGUGCUGAGAACAAAAUCCCCAGGGGCGCGUUGGAUUUUUUUUUUUCUUCCUUCCUUCUCUCGUGACCAAGACAAGAAAUAAAACAAAACAAAAACACCAAGGGGGCGAUGAGAGAGGAACGAGAUUCCUUCAGUCUCUAGAAAAUUACCAGCUCGGCUUCUUGCUGGGGGUGCAGACAAGUCCGGAAGCUCGUUGGAAAACGGGGGUGGGGGGGGGCUCUCUUCAAGCAAAGGGGAGGAAACUCGAAGUCGCUUUUUCGCCAUCAACAACACCACCAGUAACAACAAUGAAAGGUCGCCCCCGUCUACCGCUGCCUCCCCCGCGUCCCCGCGGCCGGGGAGGUGGGGGGAUGGGAGCGCGGAUGCAAACGCGCCGCUGCGCUCCUCUCCGACGCCCGGGAUGCGGCCCAAGCCGGCUCUGCUCACUUUUUUUUUUUUCUUUUCUUUUUUUUUUUCUUUUUCCCUUUUCUCUUUCCACUCUCUCUCUGUCCACUUUUUUGUUUUUCCUCUCUUGCCCCCACCCCCUGGCCCUCUUCUCCCAGCCCGCGCGCCCAUCAGUAGGUGAAGACCAGAUUGGAGAUGCUGGACUCGAGCCAGUCUCCCGAGAUCAUCUCGCUCACCUCGGGCGUGCAGUAGUCCGGGAACUCGAAGUGCGAGCCGGAGCCGGGCUCGAAGUUAAAAUCCAGGUCCCGGUCCAGCGCCGACGACGAGCUGAAACUGCCCAGGGACAUGCUCUCAAAGUUUGAGCUGGGGUUCAGGUCGAGCAGGUCGUCUUCGAACUCAUCAUCGGAGGACGAGGAGCCCGAGGAGGAGGACGAGGACGACGAGUGGGACGAGGCCGAGGAGGACGCGUGCGAGGGCGCGCUGGACGGGGCGGGCGAGGCGGCGCGCAGGCUGGCGUAGCUGCGGUGAUCGGCGGCGAGCGGCCGGCGGCCGGCGACGAGGCGGCGCUGCUGCGGCCGCUCAGGCUCGGCCCGUCCGGCGAGCAGCCCGCGCCGCCGUCCUCGUACAAGCCCAGGGGGUCGCUGGGGUCAGCGCUCGCGCUCACGCCGCCGACGGGCGACGACGAUGCGCCCAGGCCGCCGAACAGGUAGACGCGCUUCACCUUCUUCUCGGCCAGGUGCUUGCCCGGGGCGGCGAGGGCGGCGGAGGCCGCGGCCGCGGUGGAGGCCGAGGCCGAGGCGCCGGGAGUCCGCGCCUUGUACAGCGCGUGGUGGUCGGCGGCGGCGGCGCCCAGGGGCAGCAGGGCGGCGGCCCCCGCCUGCUCGGCCGCGAAGGACGAGGAGGCGGCGCCGGCCGCCGCUUUACCGCCGCCGCCGCCCGCCAGGAUGAGCUUGGCGUGCGGUUUGCUGAGCCCGCCGCCCGCGCCGCCCGCCGCCUUGGAGCCGCAGCUCUUUUUCUGCGCCGGUUUGGAGUUGGCGCCGCCGCCGCUCGCGCCGCCGCCUCCUCCCCCCGCGUUGCUGCUCCCGCCGCCGCCGCCGCCCCCGUGGCCGCCCCCGCCGCUGCCACCGACCUUGUCGCCCUUCUCCCCUGGCUUGGGGGCGGCGGCCGAGGAGCUGGCGUUGGCGUUGCCGGACUUCACCUUCUUCCUGGGCCGGUACUUGUAGUCGGGGUAGUCAGCCAUGUGCUUGAGGCGCAGCCGCUCCGCCUCCCGAAUGAAAGGGAUCUUGUCGCUGUCUUUGAGCAGCUUCCAGCGUUUGCCCAGCCGCUUGGAGAUCUCGGCGUUGUGCAUGUCGGGCGACUGCUCCAUGAUCUUGCGCCGCUCGAUCUGCGACCACACCAUGAAGGCGUUCAUGGGCCGCUUGAUGUGCCCGCUCGGCGUCUUGCACCAGCUCGGGUCGUCGGCCUUGCCGCCCGUGGAGGCGGUGGAGCCGGGCGUGGGGGAGGAGGCGAUGCCCAGCUCGAGGCCGGCGCCCGAGUCCGAGCUCUCGCCGGCCAGCAGCGCUUCCGUGUUCUCGGCGUUGUUGGUUUGCUGCACCAUGGCCCCGGCUCGGCGGGCGCCCACGCGCGCUCACACCCUCGCGGCGGCCGCGGCGCGAUCGCCGGGCCCUCCGGGUUCCCCGGGCCAAGCACACGCCGGGCGGGAGGACGCGCGCGGCGGCCGAGCGGGCCCCUCCACUCCUCGCCGGGGCGGAGGCGGGCGAGGAGAGAAAAGUCUCCAAAAGAUGCGGGCAAGGCGUACUCCGCCUCUUGCAGAGGAGUUAUAGUUCCCAGGCUGGAGAGUCUCUCCCUCCCUCUCGCUCGCUCUCUUUCUCUCUCUCUCUCUCUCUCUCACCGUUCCGUAGUUUGCUCUGUCUCUCGGCUGAGUCUGGUCACCGUGUUGAAGUGGAGAGGAGUUUCUUGAAUGCUGCUUGCUGAGCUUCCAAAGCAAGUUUCUCGCCGCCUCCCAGUUUAGGACAACCAACCGCCGCCUCCUGUUCACUCAUCGGAAGCUCCCAGACACCGGGGAAGCCAAGGCUAGCUCCCGUUUGGAUCUAGUAACUGAAGCUGGGAGAUGAUCCGUUACCAUGGCCGUAUCUUGCUGAAGCCGGAACGAGUCACAACGCGGUUUCUCCGCCAGCCACUCUCGAUUUUGGAGAUCGGCUGCAGAGAGACGGCGCGCGGUCCUUCAGGACUAGCAGAGGCCACCCCUUCUAAAAAAAUGGUCUCCCUCGGCCAGAAUGCCUCGCCGAGCGCCGCGGCUCGGGAGCGCAGGCACGGCGCCCUUUCUGCCCUGAGCCUGCCCAGGAUUAAAGGCGCUCAGCCUCGUUCCGCCGCGGCGGUCGAGCCUCGCCUUUCGAUUACAG